CGUUAUCAUCAAGAAAAAAAUAAGAUAAAUGAGAACCAUAACUACGUGUUUACUAUCGUUUUAAUUAACAUAACACAUUCAUUUUAUUAGAAUUACAAGAGUUAUGCAUUCAGUUAGCAGGGAAAAUUGCAUUCAUAUGAAUAAUAAUAUAUUACAUGAUUAAUAUAGAAGUUUUGGCACUCAGGUCAAAUUCAUUUGAUGGAUUUGAGAAAGCCUAUUAUUCUUUUUAGCAUAUUCAUAAAUUAUUAGUUUUAUCGGAUUAUUCGAUAAUAAUAUCGAAUAAGUCUUGAUAGAAAUAUUAUUUUAUUGUAUAUCCUAUGAAUUUGUAAAAACAGUAUUCGCUACGUAUAUACGAUUAUGAUUUACGUAUAAAAAUUAAAUUUUUAUUAUUAACAUUCACAUAAGAGCCGUCUUUACGAAUUGUACAAUUCCUACAACGGUCCAUUAUCAAAGUCGUAGUUAAUUACGGUAAUCGUAAAUUUGUGUCAAGGUUGAAAACAUAAUUGUUAUAAUUCUUCGAAUUAACACGUAUGUAUAUGAUAUAUUAACUUUUUAAUUUUUUAUAUCGAAUUUCUAUCAAAGAUCAUUGUGAUAUUAACAAAGCUAUUAAGAUAUUUUUCAAUGUAGUUUAAGAUUAUUUUAUUUUUAUAGGAUAUUCUAUUGAACGUCAAAUUUACUUUGUUAAUAUUUCUUCGUUGAAUCGAUAAUUUUAUCAAUUUUUUCAUUAAUUUCUCUGCAUACUUUUUUUUGUUUUUGUUAAUUUUCUUCUUUUUACUUUUUAUUUUUUUUUUCAACGUUAUACAUAGACACUGUUCUAUUUUCCGAAUGAAAUGCAAGUAAAAAUUCACAUUACAAAAUAGAGCAGUGUAAAAGAUAUGUGCAUAACGCGAGCAUUCGAAGAUGAUUCUCUCUCAUGUCCCAAGGUAUGUAAUUUUAUGGGUUCACAAAAUUCUUUCAAUGUAGCUUGCAGAUAGUUCGUCCAUUUUUAAAAAUGGGAUAAAUACAUGGAUAAAUACAUACAUACGUUGUUCUGUUCUCUUUUCUCUCUCUCUCUCUCUUUCGCUCUGCACUUUCUCUCGCUCUUGCUCUCUCUCGCUCUCUUUCUCACAUAGUAUACUUAUUUAUUUACACGUAUUUGUGAACAAUAACAUCCUAAUAAAUCUCGGUGUGGGUUGUCAGUCUUCGAUAAUAUAAUUUGGCCCUCGUAUCCCAACAAUUCGCCAAACUGAUACACAGAGGAGUUCUCUUAAGUACAUACGCAAUUUCUCUUCUGUGACGAAUAAAAUUUUCUCUCACUGUCGGUUUUUAUAUUACAUUUAAAAUGUAUCGAUUUAAUAUGAUUGUGUAAUGAAAAAAAUUGCAGAAAAUUAUUCAUUUUGAAAUCGAUAAUGGCCGAGGUAGACGGGGAUGAUUCCAAUAAUGUAGCGACGAUAAGUAAGGCCGAAGACUUGGCAUGAAUAUUUUCGUUUGACCGAAGUCAUAUACAUACAUACAUACAUAUAUUAGCAAAAAUGCACGCUGAGACAAUAAUAUCGAAUAAUCGUCCCGAUAUUCGUAACAAAGACAGUCUUCUAAGCGAGUAUUUGGAAGCGCUACAGUUUAUUUCGUUUACGGCCCGAAGGCUGCUCCUCCUACUAGACGCAAUACUGAUUUCUUCUCAGUAAAGGAUUGUUGGUUUUUUGUGUUGUGGCCGAUUGGCAAGAUAAAUCUGACGUGUCGAAGCUUGUAAAUUAAAUACAAUUUUAUUGUUAUUUUGAACAUCACAAAACAAGCCUCUAAUUGUAUAUAAAAUUUGCAUUAAAUAGUAGUUCACGUUUUAA
Long non-coding RNA from Vespa crabro (European hornet), 1820 nucleotides. RefSeq lists it as uncharacterized. The record is from RefSeq and is a predicted model, not a curated record. NCBI's taxonomy places the organism in Eukaryota, Metazoa, Arthropoda, Insecta, Hymenoptera, Vespidae. The transcript is spliced from 2 exons.